Molecule: ribosomal RNA, 434 nt
Filed under: uncultured Pseudoflavonifractor sp.
Lineage: Bacteria; Bacillati; Bacillota; Clostridia; Eubacteriales; Oscillospiraceae
Description: partial 16S ribosomal RNA
Rfam family: Bacterial small subunit ribosomal RNA
Source: RNAcentral
ACGGAAGGCAGCAGUGGGGAAUAUUGGGCAAUGGGCGAAAGCCUGACCCAGCGACGCCGCGUGAGGGAAGACGAUCCUCGGAUUGUAAACCUCUUUUAUAAGGGACGAUAGUGACGGUACCUUAUGAAUAAGCCACGGCUAACUACGUGCCAGCAGCCGCGGUAAUACGUAGGUGGCGAGCGUUAUCCGGAUUUACUGGGUGUAAAGGGUGUGUAGGCGGGACUGCAAGUCAGGUGUGAAAAUCAUGGGCUCAACUCAUGACCUGCAUUUGAAACUGUGGUUCUUGAGGGUCGGAGAGGUAACUGGAAUUCCUGGUGUAGCGGUGAAAUGCGUAGAUAUCAGGAGGAACACCGGUGGCGAAGGCGGGUUACUGGACGAUAACUGACGCUGAGGCGCGAAAGCGUGGGGAGCAAACAGGAUUAGAUACCCUGGUA